UUUGCUACAAGUUCCUUUGCAUAAGCUUCAAACUUUGCAAAGGUAGCAUAAAUGUCAUCUUGCAUGACUAUCUUGACCUCGCAUACAAAAAAAAGAAUACUUUAGUAGCACUGCGCUAGAUAAAAAAUAUUAAACAAGAAUAUAACUAAAAAGAUAAAGAAAUAGAAAAGGAAAAUGAAGAUGAAACAAAAAUAAAAAAAGUAAACAUCGCCUUG
Molecule: long non-coding RNA, 215 nt
Filed under: Lathyrus oleraceus (garden pea)
Lineage: Eukaryota; Viridiplantae; Streptophyta; Magnoliopsida; Fabales; Fabaceae
Description: Pisum sativum (pea) long non-coding RNA (PSAT_LNC038885)
Source: RNAcentral